CAGGAUGAACGCUGGCGGCGUGCCUAACACAUGCAAGUCGAGCGGAGAGGCUGCAGAGAUUCAAUCGAUGAUCUGCUUCUUCUUAGCGGCGGAUGGGUGAGUAACACGUGGGUAACCUGCCCUGCACUGGGGAAUAACAGUUGGAAACGACUGUUAAUACCGCAUAUGCGCACGGGACCGCAUGGUCCUGGGCGGAAAGAUUUAUCGGUGCAGGAUGGGCCCGCGUCGGAUUAACUUGUUGGUGAGGUAAUGGCCCACCAAGGUGAUGAUCCGUAGCCGACCUGGGAGGGUGACCGGCCACAUUGGGACUGAGACACGGCCCAAACUCCUACGGGAGGCAGCAGUGGGGGAUAUUGCACAAUGGGCGCAAGCCUGAUGCAGCGACGCCGCGUGAAGGAAGACGUAUUUCGGUAUGUAAACUUCUAUCAGCGGGGAAGAAGAUGACGGUACCCGACUAAGAAGCCCCGGCUAAUUACGUGCCAGCCGCCGC
RNAcentral lists this ribosomal RNA (490 nucleotides) under uncultured bacterium. RNAcentral's name for it is "bacterial SSU rRNA". It matches the Rfam family "Bacterial small subunit ribosomal RNA", at positions 25 to 518 of the family's 1533-position model. The record is from RNAcentral.